This 76-nucleotide transfer RNA is filed under the name Homonota fasciata (South American marked gecko). RNAcentral describes it as "tRNA-Glu". Lineage: Eukaryota; Metazoa; Chordata; Lepidosauria; Squamata; Phyllodactylidae. The record is from RNAcentral.
GUUUUUGUAGUUGAAUAACAACAAUGGUUUUUCGUAUCAUAGGUUUUGGUUAACACAAGUAGGCCAGACAAAAAUA